This 513-nucleotide ribosomal RNA is filed under the name Triticum aestivum (bread wheat). RNAcentral describes it as "partial small subunit ribosomal RNA". Lineage: Eukaryota; Viridiplantae; Streptophyta; Magnoliopsida; Poales; Poaceae. The record is from RNAcentral.
AUGCUCCGGGCUGCCUCCAACACCGGGAUUCUGCAGCCGAUCAAGGCUCGUUCGACUUCCUGCAGAAUUUCACUUUACGUUGAUGACGCAGGCAUCUUUGCCAACCCUGUGAAGGAAGAAUUGGACGCCAUUGCGGGAAUACUUGCCUGUUUUGGGGAGGCAUCGGGUCUCAUUACCAACGUGACCAAGACGGAGGUGUUCGCUAUUCGCUGCCAGCAGAUUGACCUCGCCCACAUUUUAUCGGAAUUCCCUGUGAAGAUCGCUGCAUUCCCAACUAAGUACUUGGGCCUUCCCCUGCAUACCUCAAGGCUCAAGCGGGUUCAUCUGCAACCUCUCAUAGACAAAGCAAUGGGCAAGCUUCCGGGAUGGAAGGGAAAGAACCUUGCGAGGCCGGGAAGGGUCUCCUUGGCAAAGUCUGUGCUAUGCGCCAUGGCCACACAUCACCUCACUGCGCUCCCUCUUCCGGCGUGGGCCAACCAUAAGCUUAGCAAGAUCUCUCGCAACUUCAUAUGA